Molecule: transfer RNA, 72 nt
Filed under: Danionella translucida
Lineage: Eukaryota; Metazoa; Chordata; Actinopteri; Cypriniformes; Danionidae
Also listed under: 1 other name
Rfam family: tRNA
About the family: Transfer RNA (tRNA) molecules are approximately 80 nucleotides in length. Their secondary structure includes four short double-helical elements and three loops (D, anti-codon, and T loops).
Source: Rfam by way of RNAcentral
GGUUCUAUGGUGUAAUGGUUAGCACGCUGGUCUCUGAAUCCAGCAAUCUGAGUUCAAAUCUCAGUAGGACAU